RNAcentral lists this ribosomal RNA (175 nucleotides) under uncultured cyanobacterium. Its description in RNAcentral is "partial 16S ribosomal RNA". It matches the Rfam family "Bacterial small subunit ribosomal RNA", at positions 335 to 526 of the family's 1533-position model. Lineage: Bacteria; Bacillati; Cyanobacteriota. The record is from RNAcentral.
ACUCCUACGGGAGGCAGCAGUGAGGAAUUUUCCGCAAUGGGCGAAAGCCUGACGGAGCAAUGCCGCGUGAAGGAAGAAGGUCUGUGGAUUGUAAACUUCUUUUAUCAGAGAAGAAUAAAGACGGUAUCUGAUGAAUAAGCUCCGGCUAACUCUGUGCCAGCAGCCGCGGUAAUAC